AAUAAGGAGUAUUGAUUAUCGAACCAAUUCGCCGGUAUGUAGAAAUUGAUGGACAAUUUAUUCUAUAUCAAACUAUAAGUAUUGAUUAUCGAACCGAUUCGCCGGUAUGUAGAAAUUGAUGGACAAUUAUUCCUAUAUCAAACUAUAAGUAUUUCAUUGGUUCAUAAAAAUAAACAUGAAAUUAAUCAAAGACGCAAAAAAAAAAA
Molecule: non-coding RNA, 206 nt
Organism: Durio zibethinus
Lineage: Eukaryota; Viridiplantae; Streptophyta; Magnoliopsida; Malvales; Malvaceae
Source: RefSeq, a predicted model, not a curated record